This 397-nucleotide ribosomal RNA is filed under the name uncultured bacterium. RNAcentral describes it as "partial 16S ribosomal RNA". It matches the Rfam family "Bacterial small subunit ribosomal RNA", at positions 523 to 918 of the family's 1533-position model. The record is from RNAcentral.
AUACGUAGGGGGCGAGCGUUGUCCGGAAUGAUUGGGCGUAAAGGGCGCGUAGGCGGCCUGUUAAGUCUGGAGUGAAAGUCCUGUUUUCAAGAUGGGAAUUGCUUUGGAUACUGAUGGGCUUGAGUGCAGGAGAGGUUAUCGGAAUUCCCGGUGUAGCGGUGAAAUGCGUAGAGAUCGGGAGGAACACCAGUGGCGAAGGCGGGUAACUGGACUGCAACUGACGCUGAGGCGCGAAAGUGUGGGGAGCAAACAGGAUUAGAUACCCUGGUAGUCCACACUGUAAACGAUGAAUGCUAGGUGUAGGAGGUAUCGACCCCUUCUGUGCCGCAGUUAACACAGUAAGCAUUCCGCCUGGGGAGUACGGUCGCAAGAUUAAAACUCAAAUGAAUUGACGGGG